This 1559-nucleotide long non-coding RNA is filed under the name Anas platyrhynchos platyrhynchos (common mallard). RNAcentral describes it as "lncRNA (ENSAPLG00000019061.1)". The record is from RNAcentral. Lineage: Eukaryota; Metazoa; Chordata; Aves; Anseriformes; Anatidae.
AUGUCAAAAGAAGACAGGAGAGGACUGGGAAUCUCUACAGGGUCAGUGGUGAAGAUACAGAGUAGUUUUCUCCCAGAACCAAGUGAUUGUGGAGAAUGUGUUUUCCAUGAUACCCUUACAAUGUGGAUAACUGGGGGGAUGUGCACGCAGUCCUCAGACGUGAGUGUAGGUGAUGAACACCAAAUGUGCUCUAUCACUUCUUGUUUCUGGAGCAUAAGGACAGCAAUGGCAUUUACGUCCAUUAAUAUAAUGAUAACAUCCAAACCAAUUCUAAAUGAGCUUAGGGAUGUCAUACUUAGUUUUAAUUUCUGAGACAGAAAUAUUGAUGGGAUUUAUAGUCCCUGAAAGCUUGUUUCAGAAUGGUUUUUGCUCACUGUCUGGUUAGUCACUUGAAAGGCAGUCCUUUCAAAUGUGGUUUUCAUCUUGUAAUCACACAGAGACAGUUAGUGCUUUGAUUUAUUUAUUUAUUUAAAAAAAAAAAACAAAACACAAAAAACAACACCCACCUUUGAAGAAUUAUUCUGAUAUUUCAUAACUUUCAGGACUACAAGAGAUUUUAGGUAUCGAUACAUUUUAUUUUGCAGCAUGUGUCUACAGCUUAUCCAUAGCCUGUUAGUGGAAUGGUAAAAGAACACUUACACCACAAAUCUAUUACAAUCCUUGUGCGAACUUCCAGUUUUUCACCUUACUUGGAAAUCUGACCAAAUAUAGUGUGUGACCUAAUAUAUAUAUAUAUAUAUGUAUAUAUAAUGAUUUGUUUUAUUUUUUUUUUAGACUUUCUAUACUAAUUUGCUAUUAUUCAGCUGUAAUGUUGAAAUGAAACUGAAGAGUACUGAGUGAUGUUCAACAGUGCUGUGAAGAGAGCUCCUUAACAUUUACUGUGUUAACAAAUACACAAUAUUUACUUUUUAUUAUAAUUACUAUAAAAAAAAGUUCUGUUAACUGUACUUGCUUAAAAAGCCAGCCAAUUUUAUGAAAUUAUGUUUACUUCUACUAAAGGAACUCUGCUUAAUACUGGUGUCCUUUGUAAGUCUAAUUUUGGUCUCAAGUGCUUGUUUAAACCCAGGAAUACUAAACUACUCUGAACAUACUUACAACUGGAUCAGAAAAUGGCUUCUUGAAGCUAUAACAACAGAAAUUUUUGAAGAAAUCCAACCUGGUCCCUUGGUUUUGAUCUAGUUAGGACUUGUUCUUUUUACCUAAGGAGGAAAAAAUAAUGGAAAGAAACUGACUGUGUCUGUAGCAGAAUAUAAAACAGGAUUUGAUCAGAAAUAGAAACAAUGUCAUCUGUCUAAGAGUGCCAGAACUGCUAUUAUGUUUUGCUUGCUGCCUAUAACUAGCUGUUUUCCUGGAGUAUUCAACCCCAAAUAUAAGUUGCAGUUCAAAGACUGUGCUCUCACAAAACAUUUCUAGAGUUCAUUAAGUUCUCUGUGAUAGCUUUGAAGUCCCUAAGUUUCAUUCUCUUACGUAAGUUAGCAUUCUCUAACAGAGGAGGGGGAGUCUAGUGAAUCACUGAAAUUUCAACAGAUCAAAAAAAAAUAAAAUCCUGACCAGCUCCA